This is an RNA transcript of Triticum dicoccoides, 4229 nucleotides long. It is a transcript of the gene named alpha-mannosidase At3g26720-like, with no coding region annotated. NCBI's taxonomy places the organism in Eukaryota, Viridiplantae, Streptophyta, Magnoliopsida, Poales, Poaceae. The transcript has 5 exons. The record is from RefSeq and is a predicted model, not a curated record.
CGCAGUUGCUUCGCCCCGCACGAAAACCAGUCUGUUUCCUCCUCACACACGAGCAGAGCGGACCUGGCGGGAUUUGUCGGAGUCAGCGUCACAGUGUCGCGAGCGGAGACGGCGAGGCUGAGUCGCGGGCGGCGGCGUGCAUGAUCUGGCGGCGCAGUGAGCGGGCGAGGUAAGUGUUGCAGUCGCCGCCGGCAUCAUAGGGACGUAGGCAGCUGACGCCUCUCGAUGGAGGCAGUGGUGUUUUUUCUAUCAGAUUUGUCCCAGUCUGCUACUCUGGUAUUCACGUCUUAGUUGUCAGCCGAGUGCUAUUUUUCUGCUGCUCAGCUUGCCGAGGUUUUCCCUUGCUCUCCUAAAUCCCCUAUUACUCACAAAUUUUCAUGUUCAGUAUGUGUUUUAGAUUCAUUUCUUGAUCUAUUUCCCUGCUCGCAUGUAUAUCAUCUAUCACACUUCAGUUUCACCUUCUUUGACUGCUACACUGAACGCAUGUAUAUCACACUGGCGUACUUAAGAUUCAUGUAUUUAAAUAUGUGUGGUCUGGUUAUGUGUAUCACAUUUUACCAUCUGAGUUUCACAUUUGAUUCCUUUCAUUUUCAGUGUGAUACAGAAAUGGUUGGGGCUUUCCAAUUUGGUGCUGAAAUUUAAGCAGCCACUUCAAUUUAGUGCUAUUCGGCACUGAGAUGCAAUGUAACCAAUUACAAAGCAUUAAUUCAUGGUUGACGAAUAUCGCAGAAUGGCGCAUGUUGUGAUUAAUCAAGUCAUCGGCUUUAUAUGUAUUAUUGGGUCAUUUGUGUAGGGUUUAACAUGCCCAUGGGAGUCAAUCAUGUGAUCAUGUGGCUUUCGUGUUGUUCAGUUCACCACAUUUGAUGGAUGUCCGGGAGUGGUUACGGCUAGAUGGGUUGGUCAAAGAGUUGACAUCAUGAUUAUUUGCUUAUUUUAAUAUCAAACAUUUUGAGGUAUAUUAAUCAUGGAUCAGAUGAAGGUGGAGCAUGGCUAGCCUGCUUGUUUAGCAUAGCUGCCAGGUGCAUCAAAAAAAUCGGGGGCACAGGGUCUCUAAUGCGGAUCCACGGUGUCGCCAACGAGCAAGAUUUACAUUUCUGAUCGUCGUCGUGUUUGGAUAUCUACCGUUGAAGCAGAACAUGGGUCUUCUUUUUGGUCGCGGGGCGCGUGCGUCCAGAACGUGCUGGAUUCCCUUGUGUCGGCGCUGCUCAAGGACGAGAAUCGCAAGUUAAUCUAUGUUGAGAAGGUAAGGAGACUGUCAGUGUUCACCAACAAUCUGGACAACUUGGAGGUGGGGAAUUGGGAGGUUGCAAAGCAAUUUAUUAUGGUUACGUGAAAACUUAACCACUCUGUUGCUUUACAGCCAUUUCAUGUCUGUCAGAGUAUUAUAGGAACUCUGUUCCCUUUUUUUGCGAAAGAUAGGAACUCUUUUCCCUGCUGUCUAUUUGCAGAAUUCUAGCUAGACCAGUAGUUCUACAUCCAAAUGGAAUGGAUGGUGUAAUGUGUGUUCAUUUUUGGGUUUGACGCUAUGAUUUUUCUUCAGUAAUCAUCUAUAAAUGGCUAGUUGCAACCGUAUUUUUAGAGAUGGUGGAGGCAGCAGAACGACAUUAUUAAGGGUACGGUGAAGGGGCUUGUCAGCCCCGGACGGUUGGAAUUCAUGUAGGCUAGCUCUUUCAACAACUUUCUUGUCGCAAUGGCAAUCAUGUCUCUGCUCUAUAUUUCAAUGAUGACAUAUUACUCCUUGUGAUGCUAAAGAAAUAGGGGCAUGUGCAUGCACGACGAGGCGACUGUGUGCUACAUUGACAUGAUCGAUCAAACUACACUGGGGCACAGGUUCAUCAAUGAGGAAUUUAGUCAGAUUCCGAGGAUUGGUUGGCAGAUUGAUCCAUUUGGGCACUCUACAGUUCAGGCUUACCCCCUCAGUGCAGAAGUAAUUCACUGUGUCCAUUUUAUGUCAGCAUUUCAGAUUUUUUAUGGUCACUGUUACUUCCGUUUACAUCUCAUUUGCAUGAUAAGAUGAGUUUCACACUCAGGAUGCUUACUUUUGUACCAUUAUGAUAGGUUACCUGUCAUCACUGGCUCUAGCUACUAUGAACUUGCUAGUUACAGUAAUACCUAAAUGUUGAGAUGCAGUACUGUUGGUUCAUAGAGCAUGCAUAAUAGGAAUUCCAACGGCUAUGCUCUCAAGAGUGUUUGACUGCACUUCUUGACCACCCAACAUAACUAAUGAAUUUACACAACUCGGACACUUCACUGAAUUUACACCUGCUGCAGUGUUUUGACAAACAUGUCAAAUUUGUCAGCGUAGAGAUGGGUGGUAACAUUUAGUUAAGAAAGGUGACUCGGUCCUAUUAGGACUUGGGAUGCAUGACUACUGAUUUCUGUACUAACCUUCCCUUGUCUACUUCCAGAUCCGCGCACCAUCUACUAGACGAUACCCCCAUAUGGAUUGUUUGAUUUCUUCUCCUCUUUAGACUGCAGGUGCAAGAUUCUGAAUUAUUAAAUGAUUUUGAUGCGCCUACACAGCCAUGACAGUACAUACAGAAAUUCAUUAACUAUUUGUUGCAACAUUCAACCAAAAUUUGCCCCAACGGGGUGAUGGAUACAAUAUUUUAGCCAAGUUUCUUCUUCAAAGUAUGAUAAAUGAUCUUGAAAAGCUGGAACUGGUGUUAAUUGCUGCCAUUUAUUUCUCACUGUCAAGGAGGAAUCAGAGUCAAAGAUAAUCAACAUCGACAGUAAGGUCUAAUUGGGUAGAAGACGUCGCUGAUGAACUAGCAUGGCUAGAUCGCAAUCAUGGCUUCUUCGAUUCGUCUAUAGUGUUAUUUCGUUGUGUCACUUUUGUGUGUUCUGUAUAAUGCAAGGCUAAAAGUAAUAAUGCAAUUAUUAUAUCUUUUAACUACUAUCAUACCACUUUUGCCAUCUGGACCAUCUCUUUUUUCACUAAACUAUGCAUCCUGUAAUACAUAGACGUUAACAAGUGCGGUAGCUUGAUUAGUGCGCACAAUCCUGCCCCAGGAGACGCGCCUAGGGCGCGUCGUAGUUUUCUCCAUCCAACGGGUCACUGUACCAGUGUUCUUCCUAAUAGUUUAUUAUAAAUAACCGAAAUUUUAAGCCAUCGAUUGAUAUGCAUUUGCGGGGAUUAUGAUAGAUAUAGAAGCAUCAAAAUUGAAUAUAUGCUACUCUUUACUUAUGACCUGACUCAUGAAAUGAACUGAGGUAGCGAAAUACAUUACUUCCACAAUACAUAUAUGUGCAACAAUUUUUCUGAUAAUAGUGAGAAAUAGUAUUGUUAAUUGCCCUAACUAUUCCUGAUUUUGCAUUUGUCGACACAUUUUUCCUGCAUGUUGCAUCUUGCCAAUUUGGAGAAGGCAUGCUAAAUUAUUAUUACGCCCAUCUAUGGUGUGGCCUUUAUGUAUGCUAUUUAUUUUCUUCGUUCCCUUUAUGCAUUGGAAAAAUACACCCUGUUCUUCCUUUGUUGAUUUUUUUCUUACACUUAUUGAUUUGUGGCAAAAUGUGGCAAAAGUUUAAAUAUACACGUUGUUUUGUUGCUUAUCCGAAAGGAAUCGGCUUUAUAAGCUCAGGUCAGUGCUUUGAAUUUUAAAUAAUUAUUUCCUGUUAGUAAUGUGGUCUAAUGUCCACAUCUUAUGAUAUUUUGAUCCAUUAUUGGUUUCAUAACUAAAUGCAAAAUUGGUUUGUCAUCGAUGCAGUAGAGGAAAUAUUUUGCAAGCAGUUCCAUGCAAUCAACAUUGAUGAAGAUCCAUUCAUUAUUUAUUUGUGAGAUCCCAUAACUGAAUUGAGACUUUUCCCAUGGAUUUGUUAGAGAUUCUCUGUGUAAUUUUGGUGUUCAAUAUAGCUGCUUGAUGCCUUAGGAUAUAUCGUGCUUCACAGUUGAUCGAUGCUUUAGGAUAUGUUGUGCUUCACACAUGCUUGAUGCUUUAGGAUAGGUCGUAUUUCACAACUGAAACACGCUUCACUUAGUUUUACUUAGUUUUGUUAUAAUACUCAUAUAACACACAUGGUUGUUGUUACUAAUUCAAUUCCACAUUGUUUUAAAUAGUUGCGAAUUUAAAUACGUCGAUGGUGUGGUUAAAGUAGUGUCAAAUUAAUUGUUGUGCUUACCUAAAUUGAUUCCAGAUUUCUAAAUGAAGUUUUGUUUUUCUAGAUAACAUAAAACUCUGACAUUGAUGCAGAUGAUUUUGCACCGGGAAUGCUAGGGGUCUGGACUAACUGUA